UACGUAGGGUGCGAGCGUUGUCCGGAAUUAUUGGGCGUAAAGAGCUCGUAGGCGGUUUGUUGCGUCUAUCGUGAAAACCUGCGGCUUAACUGUGGGCUUGCGGUGGAUACGGGCAGACUUGAGUUCGGUAGGGGAGACUGGAAUUCCUGGUGUAGCGGUGAAAUGCGCAGAUAUCAGGAGGAACACCGGUGGCGAAGGCGGGUCUCUGGGCCGAUACUGACGCUGAGGAGCGAAAGCCAGGGGAGCAAACGGG
This 253-nucleotide ribosomal RNA is filed under the name uncultured bacterium. Its description in RNAcentral is "partial 16S ribosomal RNA". It matches the Rfam family "Bacterial small subunit ribosomal RNA", at positions 524 to 776 of the family's 1533-position model. The record is from RNAcentral.